Molecule: ribosomal RNA, 253 nt
Filed under: uncultured bacterium
Lineage: Bacteria
Description: partial 16S ribosomal RNA
Rfam family: Bacterial small subunit ribosomal RNA
Source: RNAcentral
UACAGAGGUCUCGAGCGUUAGGCGGAAUCACUGGGCUUAAAGCGUGUGUAGGUGGAUCGGUAAGUACCUUGUGAAAUCCCACGGCUUAACCGUGGAACUGCUUGGUAUACUGCCAGUCUUGAGCCAGCUAGGGGCUACCGGAACAAAUGGUGGAGCGGCGAAAUGCGUAGAUAUCAUUUGGAACGCCAAUGGUGAAAACAGGUAGCUGGGGCUGUGCUGACACUGAGACACGAAAGCCAGGGGAGCGAACGGG